CUCGGAGUGGCUCUGAUCCUGUGCUGAAUGGAAGAAAUUGUGGUUAAUAACAGAACCCCAUGGGUUCCAUGUGCCAUGGCAUGAACCUGAGGCUCCGAACAUCCAGAAACACUUUGAGAAGCUGGAAGGUAAAGGGCAGAAAACCAGCACACUUCAGUGCAGGCAUGUCUGCCAACGUGGGUACAGACUGAAGAGCUUCAUUCACCUCCAGAAAGGAACUCUGGUUGAAGCACAUGCAGGAGAAUGAAUGUCAGAAAUGUUGAAACUCUGCCCAGCUGGCAUGAUGUAAUCCCAGCAAGUGCUCUGAUCUGCAGGCUACAAUAAAUAUAUCCUGGGAUGGGCCAUUUACAGUUUCCUGGAAUUGGGAAACCUGUCCAGGGAAGUUCCCCGCGGGCGCUCGUCUGCCUGGCUGUGACUCGUGUGCGGCUGCCCCCGGGGCUGAGCCGCUCCGCUGAUGUCGCCUCGCUCUCUAGGGAAGGACUUUGGGCUGUCACCUCCCUCCUGCUCCAGCGAAAGCCGAGGCAGAGCGCUCGCACGGAUCGUGCCCCGCAGGGAUUGCCUUCCUCGGGUGGCACGGGGGAUGCGCUGAGCCCUGGGCUCGGCUCAGGGAUGGCAUCGCCGCCCAAUGGGGCGCUCCAAAGGAACGAGGGAGCUCUGAGCAGGAAGGAAAGCCCUCAUUAG
This 681-nucleotide long non-coding RNA is filed under the name Chloebia gouldiae (Gouldian finch). RNAcentral's name for it is "Erythrura gouldiae (Gouldian finch) lncRNA (ENSEGOG00005013126.1)". The record is from RNAcentral. Lineage: Eukaryota; Metazoa; Chordata; Aves; Passeriformes; Passeridae.